RNAcentral lists this ribosomal RNA (253 nucleotides) under uncultured bacterium. Its description in RNAcentral is "partial 16S ribosomal RNA". It matches the Rfam family "Bacterial small subunit ribosomal RNA", at positions 524 to 776 of the family's 1533-position model. The record is from RNAcentral.
UACGUAGGGGGCAAGCGUUGUCCGGAAUCAUUGGGCGUAAAGAGCGUGUAGGCGGCCCGGUAAGUCCGCCGUGAAAGUCCAGGGCUCAACCCUGGAAUGCCGGUGGAAACUGCCGGGCUGGAGUCCGGAAGAGGCGAGUGGAAUUCCUGGUGUAGCGGUGAAAUGCGCAGAUAUCAGGAGGAACACCAAUGGCGAAGGCAGCUCGCUGGAACGGUACUGACGCUGAGGCGCGAAAGCGUGGGGAGCAAACAGG